CACAUGCAAGUCGAGCGGGCGAGGUUGCUUCGGUAACUGAGCUAGCGGCGGACGGGUGAGUAAUGCUUAGGAAUCUGCCUAUUAGUGGGGGACAACAUUCCGAAAGGAAUGCUAAUACCGCAUACGCCCUACGGGGGAAAGCAGGGGAUCUUCGGACCUUGCGCUAAUAGAUGAGCCUAAGUCAGAUUAGCUAGUUGGUGGGGUAAAGGCCUACCAAGGCGACGAUCUGUAGCGGGUCUGAGAGGAUGAUCCGCCACACUGGGACUGAGACACGGCCCAGACUCCUACGGGAGGCAGCAGUGGGGAAUAUUGGACAAUGGGCGCAAGCCUGAUCCAGCCAUGCCGCGUGUGUGAAGAAGGCCUUUUGGUUGUAAAGCACUUUAAGCGAGGAGGAGGCUACUUGGAUUAAUACUCUAGGAUAGUGGACGUUACUCGCAGAAUAAGCACCGGCUAACUCUGUGCCAGCAGCCGCGGUAAUACAGAGGGUGCGAGCGUUAAUCGGAUUUACUGGGCGUAAGGCGUGCGUAGGCGGCUUCUUAAGUCGGAUGUGAAAUCCCUGAGCUUAACUUAGGAAUUGCAUUCGAUACUGGGAAGCUAGAGUAUGGGAGAGGAUGGUAGAAUUCCAGGUGUAGCGGUG
This 637-nucleotide ribosomal RNA is filed under the name uncultured Pseudomonadota bacterium. Its description in RNAcentral is "bacterial SSU rRNA". It matches the Rfam family "Bacterial small subunit ribosomal RNA", at positions 52 to 683 of the family's 1533-position model. The record is from RNAcentral. Lineage: Bacteria; Pseudomonadati; Pseudomonadota.